RNAcentral lists this ribosomal RNA (595 nucleotides) under Candida albicans. RNAcentral describes it as "LSU rRNA". It matches the Rfam family "Eukaryotic large subunit ribosomal RNA", at positions 48 to 658 of the family's 3401-position model. The record is from RNAcentral. Lineage: Eukaryota; Fungi; Ascomycota; Pichiomycetes; Serinales; Debaryomycetaceae.
AAGCGGAGGAAAAGAAACCACCAGGGAUUGCCUCAGUAGCGGCGAGUGAAGCGGCAAAAGCUCAAAUUUGAAAUCUGGCGUCUUUGGCGUCCGAGUUGUAAUUUGAAGAAGGUAUCUUUGGGCCCGGCUCUUGUCUAUGUUCCUUGGAACAGGACGUCACAGAGGGUGAGAAUCCCGUGCGAUGAGAUGACCCGGGUCUGUGUAAAGUUCCUUCGACGAGUCGAGUUGUUUGGGAAUGCAGCUCUAAGUGGGUGGUAAAUUCCAUCUAAAGCUAAAUAUUGGCGAGAGACCGAUAGCGAACAAGUACAGUGAUGGAAAGAUGAAAAGAACUUUGAAAAGAGAGUGAAAAAGUACGUGAAAUUGUUGAAAGGGAAGGGCUUGAGAUCAGACUUGGUAUUUUGCAUGCUGCUCUCUCGGGGGCGGCCGCUGCGGUUUACCGGGCCAGCAUCGGUUUGGAGCGGCAGGAUAAUGGCGGAGGAAUGUGGCACGGCUUCUGCUGUGUGUUAUAGCCUCUGACGAUACUGCCAGCCUAGACCGAGGACUGCGGUUUUUACCUAGGAUGUUGGCAUAAUGAUCUUAAGUCGCCCGUCUUGAA